GCCGGGCGCGGUGGCGCGCGCCUGUAAUCCCAGCUACUCGGGAGGCUGAGGCUGGAGGAUCGCUGGAGCCCAGGAGUUCUGGGCUGCAGUGCGCUAUGCCGAUCGGGUGUCCGCACUAAGUUCGGCAUCAAUAUGGUGACCGCCCGGGAGUGGGGGACCACCAGGUUGCCUAAGGAGGGGUGAACCGGCCCAGGUCGGAAACGGAGCAGGUCAAAACUCCCGUGCUGAUCAGUAGUGGGAUCGCGCCUGUGAAUAGCCACUGUACUCCAGCCUGGGCAACAUAGCGAGACCCUGUCUCUU
RNAcentral lists this signal recognition particle RNA (300 nucleotides) under Sus scrofa (pig). RNAcentral describes it as "Metazoan signal recognition particle RNA (ENSSSCG00055011003.1)". It matches the Rfam family "Metazoan signal recognition particle RNA". From Rfam's summary of the family: The signal recognition particle (SRP) is a universally conserved ribonucleoprotein. It is involved in the co-translational targeting of proteins to membranes. Lineage: Eukaryota; Metazoa; Chordata; Mammalia; Artiodactyla; Suidae. The record is from RNAcentral.